CGGGGAGCCGGCACCCUGGGCAGGGCACUCUCCAGAUGACGCUGGUUCUCAGAGACGCCAUCUGCUUUUGUGACACACGACCGGGGAAGAGAGAAACAAGCAGGCUGAGCUUGGGAGCGACUCCUGGUCGGCAGCCAGUGAGUCAGCGGUGACAGGGACAGAACCUAGAGCCCGGGAUCCGGAGCUUCUGGCCCCGGCCGUGACUCGGCGAUCCGAGCGCCCCGCCCCCACCCAGGCCCCCGGGCCGGGCAGCGGGGGCCAGGAGGGGGCGGGGCAGGGCGCGGCCGGGCUCUGGGUGAGGCCGGAACUGCUUCAUUGUGCAGGACUGGAACAUUCGAAGGCGAAGGCGCCCGACCCGUGGGCCCAUUAGCCUCCCUCGCUCCUCCCUCUCUCCCUCCCUCCCUCCCUGUCUCUCAGACCACCACGCCCGGCAGCUGCCUCCAGACCGGUCCCUACCCAGCGUCUCUCCGCUCCGGGUCCCGAAGCCCCACCUUGCCGCAGGUGUGCACCAGGCCGGUGUUUCUCUCCGCUCGGCUCCGCCGUCUGGGGGACGGCAGGAACUCGACCCAGUACUUCCCACUGCUCCCCUCUGACCAGGCUUCCCGGAGCCCAGGACCUCAGGAAGCCCCUCCCUUGGCCGUCAGCCCCCCGCAGAGCCCUGGAUGCCAUGGAAACCGCCAGGCUUGGGUAGGGGGGCCCCCUUCUGGGCCUGCUGGGGUUCAGUGUCUUUGAAGACACUUUGAGGACUCAGAACCACCCAUUCAUUGGCCAUCAACGAAAAGCCACUACCUGUCGCUGGUGGCAGAACUUGCCAGAGGCCCCUGUACCAGGGGCCACUCAGGAGCAGCAGCCACGUCUCUCAGCCCCAGCAGGGCCCAGCCCGCCUACCCUCCCCAGCAUAGACUGCUGAGGCCUCUUCUGCCUGGACACUGCCUCCCCAUCAUUGUCCCUGUCACCAGCUCCAGCACACCAGGCUCUGCUCCCAGCCCCCGGCCAUCACACACUUCGUGGCCUGUGCCCACCACACUGUUCAUCCACUGGCAAACUCCUUCCCACUCUGCAAAGCCCAGUUCCAAGGACCUGAAGAGGCUGCUGUGGUCACGGCUCAAUGCUGGUCUCGCUGAGAAGUCGUGGCUGCCUCACCUCCUCAUCGAGCUGCCAGGCUGUGAGCCCCAGUCGGAAGAGCGGCUCCUUUUCUCUGACUGCCCACGAACAGCCUUGGGGACGACCAUGUUCAAAUGUUCAUUUGCAACCAGCUGCAGGAUUGGAUUCAACGGCAGUCAGAAAGAAAGAAGCCAAACACAAUGGUGCACACCUGUACUCCCAG
Molecule: long non-coding RNA, 1327 nt
Filed under: Heterocephalus glaber (naked mole-rat)
Lineage: Eukaryota; Metazoa; Chordata; Mammalia; Rodentia; Bathyergidae
Description: lncRNA (ENSHGLG00000045123.1)
Source: RNAcentral